This 2497-nucleotide unclassified non-coding RNA is filed under the name Monomorium pharaonis (pharaoh ant). RNAcentral describes it as "putative nuclease HARBI1, transcript variant X1". The record is from RNAcentral. Lineage: Eukaryota; Metazoa; Arthropoda; Insecta; Hymenoptera; Formicidae.
GGCCGUCACCGCGGCCAACAACUGUUUAACGUCCUGCGGGAGAGGCAAAGAUUCCACUGGCUGGGAUGCACUUGCUGCUACGCUAUCGUUUUCCGCCGCAUCCAGUGGCGAGUUCACCGAUCCCUCGACGUAAUCGAUUAGAUUAUCCUAGUCUCUUCGUGCGAGAAUCAUGUCGAUCAGCUCAUUGCGGUCGACCGGCACCUUAAUCUGGUCAGCCAGGCCAGCGCGCACUGCCUCCUUCUUCAAGGCUUCCGUGGCCAGCUUGGUCAACUUCGCACGAUCCAUCUGAAGUCAGCUUCUUCCACUGCUAAUUACGCCGGAGCGCUAAUUAGAAUACGCGGUUCGAGGCACGAGACACUGACGCGAGAACGAAUUUCCGGCGCCGACGGGACGCACGGAUUCGAGUAAAAAUGUACUUUUGUUCGCGACGCGACUAAUUCGCGAGAUUUCCUUACCCGAGGACGAGCCAAUUUUACACGCGGAUUAACGCGAGAACACUAUCGAGAGUCGAGACGAGUAACGGGGAGUCGUUCGUCGGAGCACGUGGCGAGGUAGAUCGGAGUGCUUUCCGGUCGAGACACGAGACGAGUGCACAGCACCCUCCAACCGAGAUUCGAGACGAGAGCUAAACCGGAGCACUGCACCGAGACACGAGGCGAGCUUAAUUGGAGCUCUACUCCACCGAGAUUCAAGGCAAGCGUAAUUGGAGCACUACUCCACCGAGAUUCGAGGCGAGCGUAAUUGGAGCACUACUCCACCGAGAUUCGAGGCGAGAGUUCGGCCGGAGCACCUUUCGUCGGGACGCGAGAUGAGUUUGACUGGAGCACUAUCCCACUUCUGAGAUGUAAGGCUGUUCUUCGAGUUUACUAGAUUCUACUGGACGGGAAUUAUUAUUUCAGGAAUGGCCGGGAAAUUCACUAAUAACCACAGAGAUCUAGUUUUAUAGAAAGAUAUUGAUACAAUGGAAGUCUUUCUAUUCAUAAAUGCAGCUAGUAGUGAUAUAUUAAAGACUGCUUUAGCUCUAGAUUUAAGUGAAAGCGAAAGCGAAAGUGAGACGGAAGAAUUUCUAAACUUUAUUAUUCCCACACAAGUUUGUCGAUUAAGAGGAAAAAGGGGAAAAGCAAUUCGAAUUGAAGGAUACGUAAACAACGUUGUACCUAGGUUCUCGUCACGCCAGUUCAAAGAACAUUUUCGUAUGACACCAAACUGUUUUUCCUUAUUGGAAAAUAAACUUAGUCCAAUGCUAGAAAAUAAUAAUAUAGGAAGAUCUCAUAUAUCACCAAGGGUACAACUACUUGCUGUUUUGUGGUUACUAGCAACCCCUGAUUCUUACAGAUCUGUUGGACUCCAAUUCAAUUUGGCUAAAUCGUCACUGAAUCACUGUGUGCGGCGUGUUAUUCAGGCUCUUUGCAAUAUUUCAAGUGACAUCAUCAAAUGGCCAUCUGUGACUAAUAUGAGUACUAUAAAAGACAAGUUUAAACGAAUAGCUGGCCUGGAAAAUGUUCUUGGUGCUAUUGAUGGUUCAUAUAUUGAAAUUCCAGCACCAUCGAUUGAUGCUCAUUGCUACCUGACAAGAAAGUGUAGAUAUGCUGUAAUACUUCAAGCUGUAUGUGAUGCAGAUCUGCGUUUCACAGAUUGUUAUGCUGGAUAUCCUGGUUCUGUAGGUGAUCUUAGAGUUUUUCGAAAUUCUGAUCUUUGGUAUAGUGUCAAUAGAAAUCGUCAUUUCUUUUUUCCUAAUGAAGAAUUCAUAAUAGGAGACAAAGCAUAUCCUUCACUUGGAUGGUGUUUGACCGCUUAUAGAGAUAAUGGUCAUUUGACACAGAUCGAGAACAAUUUUAAUUAUAUUCUAUCACAAACUAGGCAAACUGUAGAACGUGCUUUUGCUUUGUUAAAAGGCCGCUUAAGACGUUUGAAAUAUUUAGAUAUGUCUAGGGUUGAUUUAAUACCGGCAACAAUCUUGGCCUGUUGUGUUCUUCACAACAUAUGUUUAGGUGAUAUUGAUGACGAAAUUGAGAAUUAUGUUGUGGAAGGUAACAGAGAAAAUGAACAGAAUAGAGAAAAUAAUGAGGAAUGUGAGCAUAUUGAAAAUUAUGAUAAUGAAGGAAUUACAAAGCGUAAUUAUCUUGCAACAAUUUUAUUUCGAAGGAGAUAAACAAACAGUAAAGGAAAGAAGGCGCUAAUGCGCUUGGAGUACAAAGGCUUAUAUAAGGUCGAAGGAACUUUUGCAACAGGCGACCGUUAUUAGGACUCCGCUGCUUACGCGAUGGUCACAUACAGUAUUACACGUUACAAAGGAUUACUAAGGUUUACUAUUCUCCUAUUUAAUAUAAAUCGUUUCUCUUUUAAUUAUAUUAUUUUUUUGUAUUAUUUCUUAAUAUUAUGCAAAUAAGAGAAACAUUGCGAUGAACAAAAAAUCAAAUAAAAUUAUAUUAUUAAAUGUAACUAAAUAAAACAGAAAAAUGUUCAUUAAACGAAAUAAAAAUACGUUUGUAUGUUA